This 1631-nucleotide long non-coding RNA is filed under the name Lepisosteus oculatus (spotted gar). RNAcentral describes it as "lncRNA (ENSLOCG00000021930.1)". The record is from RNAcentral. Lineage: Eukaryota; Metazoa; Chordata; Actinopteri; Semionotiformes; Lepisosteidae.
CAGGCCGCUGCUCCCAGCCUGCCGCCUCACGUGCUCCAAUAAAUCAACCCCCACAAUGCCACUCGUCAGUGCUGCUUCUGCCCGAUUUCCUCUCACUGUGUCUCUCGUCUGUCCCUCCCUCCUCCCUCUCUGUCUCUCUUUCUGCACGCCCUCCCUCCCUCUCUCCCCUACAGUAUGUCUGUCUUCAGAUGGUACGUGCUGGAGACACAUGUCACCCCCAGUUGCUUCUGGGCAGGACUACGCUGCAGUCUGCUGUUCUGGGAGUGUAAUGCUGAAACAUCGCCCAGGCAAAAGCACAAAUCUUAAAUGUGAAUGUUUGGCCCCGUGCUUCUGUGAAAAACAGCAGUCCUAGUUUUUUGUACCUGCAAAUGUUCUGUGAAAGACCGUGAGAUGCGGUCGAAAAUGGUGGCGCUCAUGUCCCGUCCCCUGUUCUAUUCAUAACACCUGAGCACUGGGGCCCAAAACACUUGACAACACAUGGUUAGAAAGCUGAGCUUGUGAGUUUACAAAGGCGCUGUGUGAGAUCUACAAAGGUGUUGUGUGUACACAUAAAAGAUGCAUGAGGUUGACAAGGAGCCAUGGUUCAUUUAGAUGGAAUGUGCUCUGGGAGUGUGAUGUGACUUAUCCAUGAGUCAACUCUUACUAAACAACAGAAGCACUACCAGCUGAUAGGAAUUCCCUCCCGAGGCAGACAAAUGAAUCGUGUGAUGACCCAGUGACAGGAUUGUCAGUUUUGGAAGGAUAACCUGAAUGAUUGUUUCCUCACAGUAACAGGUUUUAACAGAACUGGGUGUCAUGGAAGAUAAUAUCAAGAUAUUAAUUGCUUUUGUCUGAGUUUAGGAUAGAUACACCAAGUAUUGACAUUUGCACAGAAAAGCUGGCUUCAAUAAAUCAUGUGAUUUGUAGCAAAGGCAACAUUUUAACUGUCUUGUGAGAAACUUGUUUAGAAAUGAAUAAGUAAUGUUCCAGUGUUUAAAAUAAACUGAACAUGUUAUAGUUAAUGAAAUCUGCUAAACAGACUUCUAAACAUUUGCACUUUGCAUGUUUCUUCUAUCAUAUGUCCUUUGUUUUUUUUCUGCGAAAUUGCCUGCAGUGCUCAUGAUCAAUUUUUUUAAUGUUUAGUUUUUCAACAUAUAUGUUAUUAUCAAGUCACAGAAUAUGCAAGAACAAGUCUGGGAAUCAAAUAUACAAGCUUUGUUUUAUAGAGAGCAGGUCUCACAUGAAAUGUACUGUAAAGAUGUUACAUAUAAGAUUGUGUAACAGUUAUUUCAAUUGACUCAAUGCUGUGGACAAAACUCCAUUUAAAAUAUAUAAACUUCAUCGUAGAAGGGGUAUGAAGCAUACAGCGUGUUUUUUUUUCUUUAUAAAAAAUGUAAUUUCUGAUUAUUACUGUAGACCAGGUAUGGGAAACUUCAGACCUCAAAUUUGGAUUUCUGUGAACUUUAAAGGUUUUUUAAAUUAACUAUUGACUAAGGCCUGAAAUACAGGUGGCAUUCAAUGUAUUCAAAUAUUUUCUUUCAUUAAUGUAAGUAAUUAGAAUCAGAGGUGGAGUGAAAACAUAAAGAACCUUAAAAACUCAAGUAGUGUGGUUUCCUAUCCACAUAUCCUUGAUGUGGACUCUCUGUGUUCAU